RNAcentral lists this ribosomal RNA (497 nucleotides) under uncultured bacterium. RNAcentral describes it as "partial 16S ribosomal RNA". It matches the Rfam family "Bacterial small subunit ribosomal RNA", at positions 28 to 507 of the family's 1533-position model. The record is from RNAcentral.
GAUGAACGCUGGCGGCGUGCCUAAUACAUGCAAGUCGAGCGAACAGACGAGGAGCUUGCUCCUCUGACGUUAGCGGCGGACGGGUGAGUAACACGUGGAUAACCUACCUAUAAGACUGGGAUAACUUCGGGAAACCGGAGCUAAUACCGGAUAAUAUAUUGAACCGCAUGGUUCAAUAGUGAAAGACGGUUUUGCUGUCACUUAUAGAUGGAUCCGCGCCGCAUUAGCUAGUUGGUAAGGUAACGGCUUACCAAGGCAACGAUGCGUAGCCGACCUGAGAGGGUGAUCGGCCACACUGGAACUGAGACACGGUCCAGACUACUACGGGAGGCAGCAGUAGGGAAUAUUCCGCAAUGGGCGAAAGCCUGACGGAGCAACGCCGCGUGAGUGAUGAAGGUCUUCGGAUCGUAAAACUCUGUUAUUAGGGAAGAACAAAUGUGUAAGUAACUAUGCACGUCUUGACGGUACCUAAUCAGAAAGCAACGGCUAACUACGUG